UGGCUCAGGACGAACGCUGGCGGCGUGCCUAACACAUGCAAGUCGAGCGGGGAGGAGGAAGCUUGCUUCCGAAUCCUAGCGGCGGACGGGUGAGUAACGCGUGAGCAACCUGCCUCUUACUGGGGGAUAACGCAUCGAAAGAUGUGCUAAUACCGCGUAAGACCACGGCACCGCAUGGUGCAGAGGUCAAAGGAGCAAUCCGGUUUGAGAUGGGCUCGCGUCCGAUUAGCUAGUUGGUGAGAUAACGGCCCACCCAAGGCGACGAUCGGUAGCCGACCUGAGAGGGUGAUCGGCCACAUUGGAACUGAGAAACGGUCCAGACUCCUACGGGAGGCAGCAGUGGGGAAUAUUGGGCAAUGGGCGAAAGCCUGACCCAGCAACGCCGCGUGAGGGAAGAAGGGUUUCGGCUCGUAAACCUCUGUCCUAUGGGACGAAUAAGAUGACGGUACCAUAGGAGGAAGCCCCGGCUAACUACGUG
Molecule: ribosomal RNA, 478 nt
Filed under: uncultured bacterium
Lineage: Bacteria
Description: bacterial SSU rRNA
Rfam family: Bacterial small subunit ribosomal RNA
Source: RNAcentral